UCAGCGUGGCUUUGUGACAGGUGGUGCAGAUAAAUCUGUCAAGUUCUGGGAUUUUGAGUUGGUGAAAGAUGAAAAUAGUACCCAAAAGAGACUUUCUGUGAAGCAUACUCGAACCUUGCAACUAGAUGAAGAUGUUCUGUGUGUCAGUUACUCUCCCAAUCAAAAGCUGUUGGCUGUGUCUUUGCUGGACUGUACUGUGAAGAUUUUCUAUGUCGACACUUUAAAGUUUUUUCUCUCACUUUAUGGACACAAACUGCCUGUUAUAUGCAUGGACAUCUCCUAUG
Molecule: long non-coding RNA, 284 nt
Organism: Propithecus coquereli (Coquerel's sifaka)
Lineage: Eukaryota; Metazoa; Chordata; Mammalia; Primates; Indriidae
Exons: 3
Source: RefSeq, a predicted model, not a curated record